GGUGUAAGCGGCUUGGUAAGUCGGGUGUGAAAGCCCUGGGCCCAACCCAGGAACUGCACUCGAAACUGCCUCGCUAGAGUCUCGGAGAGGGUGGCGGAAUUCCCGGUGUAGAGGUGAAAUUCGUAGAUAUCGGGAGGAACACCAGUGGCGAAGGCGGCCACCUGGACGAUGACUGACGCUCAGACCCGAAAGCGUGGGGAGCAAACA
This 207-nucleotide ribosomal RNA is filed under the name uncultured bacterium. RNAcentral's name for it is "partial 16S ribosomal RNA". It matches the Rfam family "Bacterial small subunit ribosomal RNA", at positions 568 to 774 of the family's 1533-position model. The record is from RNAcentral.